This 590-nucleotide ribosomal RNA is filed under the name Bos taurus (domestic cattle). RNAcentral describes it as "partial 12S ribosomal RNA". It matches the Rfam family "Bacterial small subunit ribosomal RNA", at positions 9 to 1258 of the family's 1533-position model. Lineage: Eukaryota; Metazoa; Chordata; Mammalia; Artiodactyla; Bovidae. The record is from RNAcentral.
CAUAGGUUUGGUCCCAGCCUUCCUGUUAACGCUUAAUAAACUUACACAUGCAAGCAUCUACACCCCAGUGAGAAUGCCCUCUAGGUUAUUAAAACUAAGAGGAGCUGGCAUCAAGCACACACCCUGUAGCUCACGACGCCUUGUCUUAACCACACCCCCACGGGAAACAGCAGUGACAAAAAUUAAGCCAUAAACGAAAGUUUGACUAAGUUAUAUUAAUUAGGGUUGGUAAAUCUCGUGCCAGCCACCGCGGUCAUACGAUUAACCCAAGCUAACAGGAGUACGGCGUAAAACGUGUUAAAGCACCAUACCAAAUAGGGUUAAAUUCUAACUAAGCUGUAAAAAGCCAUGAUUAAAAUAAAAAUAAAUGACGAAAGUGACCCUACAAUAGCCGACGCACUAUAGCUAAGACCCAAACUGGGAUUAGAUACCCCACUAUGCUUAGCCCUAAACACAGAUAAUCACAUAAACAAAAUUAUUCGCCAGAGUACUACUAGCAACAGCUUAAAACUCAAAGGACUUGGCGGUGCUUUAUAUCCUUCUAGAGGAGCCUGUUCUAUAUAAUCGAAUUCCCGCGGCCGCCAGGCGGC